RNAcentral lists this ribosomal RNA (291 nucleotides) under uncultured bacterium. Its description in RNAcentral is "partial 16S ribosomal RNA". It matches the Rfam family "Archaeal small subunit ribosomal RNA", at positions 455 to 747 of the family's 1478-position model. The record is from RNAcentral.
GUGCCAGCCGCCGCGGUAAUACCGGCAGCUCAAGUGAUGUCCCAUAUUAUUGGGCCUAAAGCGUCCGUAGCUGGCCGACCAAGUCUCCCGGGAAAUCCACCCGCCCAACGGGUGGGCGUCCGGUAGAAACUGGCCGGCUUGGAACCGGAAGGCUCAGAGAGUACGUCCGGGGUAGGAGUGAAAUCCCGUAAUCCCGGACGGACUACCGAUGGCGAAAGCACUCUGAGAAGACGGCUUCGACUGUGAGGGGCGAAAGCUAAGAUCGCGAACCGGAUUAGAAACCAGUAGUCC